UAGCUUAGUUGGUAGUGCGUCUGCCUUGUAAGCACUAGGCCGUGGGUUCGAUUCCCGC
Molecule: transfer RNA, 58 nt
Filed under: Diaphorina citri (Asian citrus psyllid)
Lineage: Eukaryota; Metazoa; Arthropoda; Insecta; Hemiptera; Psyllidae
Rfam family: tRNA
About the family: Transfer RNA (tRNA) molecules are approximately 80 nucleotides in length. Their secondary structure includes four short double-helical elements and three loops (D, anti-codon, and T loops).
Source: Rfam by way of RNAcentral